RNAcentral lists this ribosomal RNA (427 nucleotides) under uncultured bacterium. RNAcentral describes it as "bacterial SSU rRNA". It matches the Rfam family "Bacterial small subunit ribosomal RNA", at positions 355 to 774 of the family's 1533-position model. The record is from RNAcentral.
UGGGGAAUUUUGGACAAUGGGCGCAAGCCUGAUCCAGCAAUGCCGCGUGCAGGAUGAAGGCCUUCGGGUUGUAAACUGCUUUUGUACGGAACGAAACGGCUCUGUCUAAUACAUGGGGCUAAUGACAGUACCGUAAGAAUAAGCACCGGCUAACUACGUGCCAGCAGCCGCGGUAAUACGUAGGGUGCAAGCGUUAAUCGGAAUUACUGGGCGUAAAGCGUGCGCAGGCGGUUAUAUAAGACAGAUGUGAAAUCCCCGGGCUCAACCUGGGAACUGCGCUUGUGACUGAACGACUAGAGUACGGCAGAGGGAGGUGGAAUUCCGCGUGUAGCAGUGAAAUGCGUAGAUAUGCGGAGGAACACCGAUGGCGAAGGCAGCCUCCUGGGCCAGUACUGACGCUCAUGCACGAAAGCGUGGGGAGCAAGCA